GACACGACCGUACCGCAAACCGACACUGGUGCGCGAGAUGAGUAUUCUAAGGCGCUUGAGAGAACUCAGGAGAAGGAACUCGGCAAAUUGACACCGUAACUUCGGAAGAAGGUGUGCCUUUAGUAGGUGAACCAUUUACUUGGGGAGCCCAAUGAGGCUGCAAAAAAUCGGUGGCUGCAACUGUUUAUUAAAAACACAGCACUCUGCUAAGACGAAAGUCGACGUAUAGGGUGUGACGCCUGCCGGUGCUGGAAGAUUAAAUGAUGGGGUGCAAGCUCUUGAUUGAAGUCCCAGUAAACGGCGGCCGUAACUAUAACGGUCCUAAGGUAGCGAAAUUCCUUGUCGGGUAAGUUCCGACCUGCACGAAUGGCGUAAUGAUGGCCACACUGUCUCCUCCUGAGACUCAGCGAAGUUGAAAUGUUUGUGAUGAUGCAAUCUCCCCGCGGAAAGACGGAAAGACCCCAUGAACCUUUACUGUAGCUUUGUAUUGGACUUUGAACAGAUCUGUGUAGGAUAGGUGGGAGGCUUUGAAGUGUGGUCGCUAGAUCGCAUGGAGCCAACGUUGAAAUACCACCCUGGUGUGUUUGAGGUUCUAACCUAGGUCCAUUAUCUGGAUCGGGGACAGUGCAUGGUAGGCAGUUUGACUGGGGCGGUCUCCUCCCAAAGUGUAACGGAGGAGUUCGAAGGUACGCUAGGUACGGUCGGACAUCGUGCUAAUAGUGCAAUGGCAUAAGCGUGCUUAACUGCGAGACUGACAAGUCGAGCAGAUGCGAAAGCAGGACAUAGUGAUCCGGUGGUUCUGUAUGGAAGGGCCAUCGCUCAACGGAUAAAAGGUACUCUGGGGAUAACAGGCUGAUACCGCCCAAGAGUUCAUAUCGACGGCGGUGUUUGGCACCUCGAUGUCGGCUCAUCUCAUCCUGGGGCUGUAGCCGGUCCCAAGGGUAUGGCUGUUCGCCAUUUAAAGAGGUACGUGAGCUGGGUUUAAAACGUCGUGAGACAGUUUGGUCCCUAUCUUCCGUGGGCGCUGCAGAUUUGAGGAAGCCUGCUCCUAGUACGAGAGGACCGGAGUGGACGAACCUCUGGUGUAUCGGUUGUCACGCCAGUGGCAUUGCCGAGUAGCUAAGUUCGGAAGAGAUAACCGCUGAAAGCAUCUAAGCGGGAAACUCGUUUCAAGAUUAGAUCUGCCGGGGCCUUGAGCCCCCUAAAGAGUCGUUCAAGACCAGGACGUUGAUAGGUCAGGUGUGGAAGUGAAAAAAAA
This 1258-nucleotide ribosomal RNA is filed under the name metagenome. Its description in RNAcentral is "bacterial LSU rRNA". It matches the Rfam family "Bacterial large subunit ribosomal RNA", at positions 1635 to 2883 of the family's 2925-position model. The record is from RNAcentral.